Molecule: non-coding RNA, 669 nt
Organism: Phalacrocorax carbo (great cormorant)
Lineage: Eukaryota; Metazoa; Chordata; Aves; Suliformes; Phalacrocoracidae
Source: RefSeq, a predicted model, not a curated record
GUUGAAUGAAAUUCAAGAGUGAAUGAAGGCAAGAUUUGCGAAUGAAAGACCAUUAGUUUAAAAAUAUGAAAAUGUUACAAGAAGUACAAGUGCAACUGUUGUUCAUUUCUUUUUUACUGCCAUGCUGAACUGGGGUUUGGAAGUGCAGCUGCUUCAUCAGGAGACCAUCUCAAGAGCUGUGGAUCUUCAGUCUGUGGAACCUCUUUAGUUUUCACCACUGCAAGUAGAAGAAAAAGAAGUUAUAAUGCCCAAUCUGCCAGUGCAAAGUGAAACUGAAAUGAUAAUGCCCGAGGAGAAAAGGGAGUUGGAAAAGGAACAUCUUACGAAACAGAAAUAUCUUACAAAACAGAAGAAAGGACUUACUGUCAAGAUAACAUAUGUAGCACCUGAGCCGCAAGCUGCUGAGAGAACCCUGACUGCUGAAGCUGAGAAACUGAAGAAACAUAGAGGUCAAAAAAGACAAACCACAGAAAGGUAGUGACCAAAACUUUUAAGAUGUGCUUUGAAGACAUUUAAGAAGCCUCUGUGUUGAUUUAACUUCUUCUCUUCACACUUUUUCAUCUCUCUUGUUUCAUAUGUCACCAUUUUCUGUCACUACACUUUCUCUAUCCCAGAAUCACAGUGCUUUCUUCUGGUUUUCAUGUGAUCACAGUUCUCCUUUAUGCAUAC